CCUACGGGGGGCAGCAGUGAGGAAUAUUGGUCAAUGGGCGCGAGCCUGAACCAGCCAAGUCGCGUGAGGGAAGACGGUCCUAUGGAUUGUAAACCUCUUUUGUCGGGGAGCAAAAGACGCCACGCGUGGCGUUCCGACAGUACCCGAAGAAAAAGCAUCGGCUAACUCCGUGCCAGCAGCCGCGGUAAUACGGAGGAUGCGAGCGUUAUCCGGAUUUAUUGGGUUUAAAGGGUGCGCAGGCGGAAGAUCAAGUCAGCGGUAAAAUGGAGGGGCUCAACCUCUUCGAGCCGUUGAAACUGUUUGUCUUGAGUGAGCGAGAGGUAUGCGGAAUGCGUGGAGUAGCGGUGAAAUGCAUAGAUAUCACGCAGAACUCCGAUUGCGAAGGCAGCAUACCGGCGCUCAACUGACGCUCAUGCACGAGAGUGUGGGUAGCGAACAGGAUUAGAUACCCUUGUAGUC
Molecule: ribosomal RNA, 459 nt
Filed under: uncultured bacterium
Lineage: Bacteria
Description: partial 16S ribosomal RNA
Rfam family: Bacterial small subunit ribosomal RNA
Source: RNAcentral